Non-coding RNA from Myodes glareolus (Bank vole), 403 nucleotides. The record is from RefSeq and is a predicted model, not a curated record. Lineage: Eukaryota; Metazoa; Chordata; Mammalia; Rodentia; Cricetidae.
GACAUCUGAAGGACAUCUGAAGGACAUCUCUGGGAGCAGUAGUCACGUUUCACCUGUCGCUCUGGCUCGUGACUCUAGAGUUGUCUGCUUUCAGAUUUACGCUGACAAAUCAAGAAAGAAAAUGCCCACGCCAUACCAGACUAGAUGCUUCAAGUCCUCCAGGGACGCUUCUGUAUUUAUUGGACAUCAUUCAUUCAACAGCUGCCAUUUUAACGAAGUCCUUCCUGGGUGCUGAGGAUGUCGGGAGCAAAGAGAUAAAGCCCACAGUAUGGAUCUUCUGUGUCAACUUUAGGUGGGCCACAGUGUCCACAUAUUUGAUCAAACACUACUUUGGGUAUUUCGGUGAAAGUGUUUCUUGACAUAAUUUAUCUUUAAAUAAAUGGACUUUGGGUAAAACAGGUUA